AUUAACUUUGCAGUGCUAUGGACUUCUCAGCACAGUUGGUCCACCACUAUCCCAAACUCAGGGAUGGGGGUGGUUAUGAACUGCUUCAUAUCAUUGGUUCAACCAGAGACAAGGUAUGGGGGAGUUCUGCUGAUGAAAAUGAUGGACCAAUAGUUGAGUGCAUGUAUUGCCACAACAGUUUUAAACAUUCCAAUAUGCAGGAUCACAUAGACAUCUUUACAAGACAUUUUGGCAACACAGAAACUCCCACAGUACAAGCUGAGGCUGACGACCAUGGAAAGAUGGACACCAGAACAGAAAGACAGGCAACACCAGAGUGCAGUGGUCAUAGACCCACACAAAAUGAGACUGACAUGUACAGGCAGAUGCAGAUUGAGAGCAGCCAACACACUAAGAGACAGACUGAUAGAUGGCCAGAAACCGACAGUGACCACCACAGACUCCAAAGGCAAUCGAGACAGAGAGAAGAACAGCCAUCAACCAGCAGUAACAAUGGUUCAGUCAACAUCUUUCAAUCUCCUGAAAAAAGUCAUAAUGCCGAAUGCUAA
RNAcentral lists this long non-coding RNA (548 nucleotides) under Carassius auratus (goldfish). Its description in RNAcentral is "lncRNA (ENSCARG00000020709.1)". Lineage: Eukaryota; Metazoa; Chordata; Actinopteri; Cypriniformes; Cyprinidae. The record is from RNAcentral.